Molecule: long non-coding RNA, 213 nt
Filed under: Gallus gallus (chicken)
Lineage: Eukaryota; Metazoa; Chordata; Aves; Galliformes; Phasianidae
Source: RNAcentral
GUUUUUUUUUUUUUUUUUUUUUUUUUUUUUUUUUUUUUUUUUUUUUUUUUUUUUUUGUUUUUUUUUUUUGUUUUUUUUUUUUUUUUUUUUUUUUUUUUUUUUUUUUUUUUUUUUUUUUUUUUUUUUUUUUUUUUUUUUUUUUUUUUUUUUUUUUUUUUUUUUUUUUUUUUUUUUUUUUUUUUUUAUUUUUGUGUUUUUUUUUUUUGUAUGUGU